UGAAUACGAGACGCUAAGGCGUCGAAGUAGUGUAUGUCAUACUUCCAAGAAAAGCUUGCACUGUCAUAGAUAAAAAACGCCUGUACCAUAACCGACACAGGUGGGUAGGUAGAGUAUACUAAGGGGCGCGAGAUAACUCUCUCUAAGGAACUCGGCAAAAUAACUCCGUAACUUCGGGAGAAGGAGUGCCUUAUUAUUAAGGCUGCAAUAACAAGAUCCAAGCAACUGUUUAUCAAAAACACAGGUCUCCGCUAAGUCGUAAGACGAUGUAUGGGGGCUGACGCCUGCCCAGUGCCAGAAGGUUAAAGAAGUUGGUUAGCAUUUGCGAAGCUGAUAACUGAAGCCCUGGUGAACGGCGGCCGUAACGAUAACGGUCCUAAGGUAGCGAAAUUCCUUGUCGGGUAAGUUCCGACCCGCACGAAAGGCGUAAUGAUUUGGAUACUGUCUCGGAGAGGGGCUCGGUGAAAUAGACUUGUCUGUGAAGAUGCGGACUACCUGCACCAGGACAGAAAGACCCCAUGAAGCUUUACUGUAACUUGAAAUUGAAAUUGGACUUUAUUCGCGCAGCAUAGGUGGGAGGCGUUGAUUAUAAUCUUGUGGGAUUAUUGGAGCCAUCAGUGAGAUACCACUCUUGUAAUGUUAGAUUUCUAACUUUGAAUCAUUAUCUGGUCAAAGAACAGUUUCAGGCGGGCAGUUUGACUGGGGCGGUCGCCUCCUAAACGGUAACGGAGGCGUACAAAGGUUUCCUCUGAACGGUUAGAAAUCGUAUCUAGAGUGUAAAGGCAUAAGGAAGCUUGACUGUGAGACCUACAAGUCGAGCAGGGACGAAAGUCGGUCUUAGUGAUCUGACGGUACUGAGUGGAAAGGCCGUCACUCAACGGAUAAAAGUUACUCUAGGAUAACAGGCUGAUCUCCCCCAAGAGUUCACAUCGACGGGGAGGUUUGGCACCUCGAUGUCGGCUCAUCGCAUCCUGGGGCGGUAGUACGUCCCAAGGGUUGGGCUGUUCGCCCAUGAAAGCGGUACGCGAGCUGGGUUCAGAACGUCGUGAGACAGUUCGGUCCAUAUCCGGUGUAGGCGUUAGAAUAUUGAGAGGAGCCUUCUUUAGUACGAGAGGACCGAGAAGGACAUACCUCUGGUGUACCAGUUAUCGUGCCAACGGUAAACGCUGGGUAGCUAUGUAUGGAGUGGAUAACCGCUGAAAGCAUCUAAGUGGGAAGCCCACCUCAAGAUAAG
This 1234-nucleotide ribosomal RNA is filed under the name metagenome. RNAcentral's name for it is "bacterial LSU rRNA". It matches the Rfam family "Bacterial large subunit ribosomal RNA", at positions 1564 to 2808 of the family's 2925-position model. The record is from RNAcentral.